RNAcentral lists this ribosomal RNA (492 nucleotides) under uncultured bacterium. RNAcentral's name for it is "partial 16S ribosomal RNA". It matches the Rfam family "Bacterial small subunit ribosomal RNA", at positions 29 to 507 of the family's 1533-position model. The record is from RNAcentral.
AGUGAACGCUGGCGGUAGGCCUAACACAUGCAAGUCGAACGGCAGCACAGUAAGAGCUUGCUCUUACGGGUGGCGAGUGGCGGACGGGUGAGGAAUACAUCGGAAUCUACUUUUUCGUGGGGGAUAACGUAGGGAAACUUACGCUAAUACCGCAUACGACCUACGGGUGAAAGCAGGGGAUCUUCGGACCUUGCGCGAUUGAAUGAGCCGAUGUCGGAUUAGCUAGUUGGCGGGGUAAAGGCCCACCAAGGCGACGAUCCGUAGCUGGUCUGAGAGGAUGAUCAGCCACACUGGAACUGAGACACGGUCCAGACUCCUACGGGAGGCAACAGUGGGGAAUAUUGGACAAUGGGCGCAAGCCUGAUCCAGCCAUACCGCGUGGGUGAAGAAGGCCUUAGGGUUGUAAAGCCCUUUUGUUGGGAAAGAAAAGCAGCAGGUUAAUACCCCGCUGUUCUGACGUUACCCAAAGAAUAAGCACCGGCUAACUUCGUG